GUCUCUGGCCAUACCACCCUGAACGCGCGCCUGAUCUCGUCUGAUCUCAGAAGCUAAGCAGGGUCAGGCCUGGUUAGUACUUAGAUGGGAGAAAUCUGCAUUUGCCACCACAC
RNAcentral lists this ribosomal RNA (113 nucleotides) under Mus spretus (western wild mouse). The record is from RNAcentral. Lineage: Eukaryota; Metazoa; Chordata; Mammalia; Rodentia; Muridae.